This 607-nucleotide long non-coding RNA is filed under the name Micromonas commoda. RNAcentral describes it as "long non-coding RNA (MCOM_LNC000089)". Lineage: Eukaryota; Viridiplantae; Chlorophyta; Mamiellophyceae; Mamiellales; Mamiellaceae. The record is from RNAcentral.
ACUGAUUACAAGGUGACUGGAAACGGUUGUGCCCCGGAAGGGGAUAUCUCAGAGGUACUCACAGAGAAAGUUGUUGACCGUCCCGCCAAUCUACCAUCAAUACUUCAUCUUGCCAUAUGUUCCAGUCUAUGCAAUGACAGCUCCCUAUCAUACAACGGAAAGACACAUAGUUUUGACAAGAUCGGAGAGUCAACUGAAGUGGCACUCCGAGUUCUCGCGGAGAAAAUUGGUUUGCCUGGCUUUGAUGAUAUGCCCAGAGCAUUGACGUACUUGAGCUUGGAAGAACGUGCGAGCCACUGUGCAACUUACUGGCGAGGGCAGUUUGAGCGAGUAUCUACCCUAGAGUUUGACCGAGAUCGCAAGAUGAUGAGUGUAAUCGGAAAGCGAAAGGGGCAGAGCAUUCUGUUUACAAAAGGAAGCCCAGAGGCAGUUUUGCUUCGAUGCACACGGGUACUCACCAAUUCAAAGGGCAUCGCGGAGCCAAUUUCGACACAAGUUCGAGAUGCAUUGACUGAAAAAUAUAGAACAUAUGCCCGCAGAUCCUUGAGGGUGCUGGCACUCGCAAUGCGUCCAAUAUCUUCAGACCAGUGUCAUAUAUCACCUUCAG